This 920-nucleotide ribosomal RNA is filed under the name uncultured bacterium. RNAcentral describes it as "bacterial SSU rRNA". It matches the Rfam family "Bacterial small subunit ribosomal RNA", at positions 8 to 916 of the family's 1533-position model. The record is from RNAcentral.
AGAGUUUGAUCAUGGCUCAGAUUGAACGCUGGCGGCAGGCCUAACACAUGCAAGUCGAGCGGUAACAGGAAUUAGCUUGCUAAUUUGCUGACGAGCGGCGGACGGGUGAGUAAUGCCUGGGAAUAUGCCUUAGUGUGGGGGAUAACUAUUGGAAACGAUAGCUAAUACCGCAUAACGUCUUCGGACCAAAGAGGGGGACCUUCGGGCCUCUCGCGCUAAGAUUAGCCCAGGUGGGAUUAGCUAGUUGGUGAGGUAAAGGCUCACCAAGGCAACGAUCCCUAGCUGGUCUGAGAGGAUGAUCAGCCACACUGGAACUGAGACACGGUCCAGACUCCUACGGGAGGCAGCAGUGGGGAAUAUUGCACAAUGGGGGAAACCCUGAUGCAGCCAUGCCGCGUGUAUGAAGAAGGCCUUCGGGUUGUAAAGUACUUUCAGUCGUGAGGAAGGGUAUGUAGUUAAUAGCUGCAUAUCUUGACGUUAGCGACAGAAGAAGCACCGGCUAACUCCGUGCCAGCAGCCGCGGUAAUACGGAGGGUGCGAGCGUUAAUCGGAAUUACUGGGCGUAAAGCGCAUGCAGGCGGUCUGUUAAGCAAGAUGUGAAAGCCCGGGGCUCAACCUCGGAACCGCAUUUUGAACUGGCAGACUAGAGUCUUGUAGAGGGGGGUAGAAUUUCAGGUGUAGCGGUGAAAUGCGUAGAGAUCUGAAGGAAUACCGGUGGCGAAGGCGGCCCCCUGGACAAAGACUGACGCUCAGAUGCGAAAGCGUGGGGAGCAAACAGGAUUAGAUACCCUGGUAGUCCACGCCGUAAACGAUGUCUACUUGAAAGGUUGUGGCCUUGAGCCGUGGCUUUCGGAGCUAACGCGUUAAGUAGACCGCCUGGGGAGUACGGUCGCAAGAUUAAAACUCAAAUGAAUUGACGG